AUUGAACGCUGGCGGAAUGCUUUACACAUGCAAGUCGAACGGUAGAGGGGGCAACCCCUCGAGAGUGGCGAACGGGUGAGUAAUAUAUCGGAACGUGCCCAGUCGGGGGGGAUAACGUAGCGAAAGUUACGCUAAUACCGCAUACGAUCUAAGGAUGAAAGCGGGGGAUCGCACGACCUCGCGCGAUUGGAGCGGCCGAUAUCAGAUUAGGUAGUUGGUGGGGUAAAGGCUCACCAAGCCAACGAUCUGUAGCUGGUCUGAGAGGACGACCAGCCACACUGGAACUGAGACACGGUCCAGACUCCUACGGGAGGCAGCAGUGGGGAAUUUUGGACAAUGGACGCAAGUCUGAUCCAGCCAUUCCGCGUGCAGGAUGAAGGCCCUCGGGUUGUAAACUGCUUUUGUACGGAACGAAAAGGUCUCUCUUAAUACGGGGGACUCAUGACGGUACCGUAAGAAUAAGCACCGGCUAACUACGUGCCAGCCGCCGCCGUAA
Molecule: ribosomal RNA, 496 nt
Filed under: uncultured bacterium
Lineage: Bacteria
Description: partial 16S ribosomal RNA
Rfam family: Bacterial small subunit ribosomal RNA
Source: RNAcentral